UACGGAGGGCGCAAGCGUUGUCCGGAUUCAUUGGGUUUAAAGGGUGCGUAGGCGGGCGAUUAAGUCAGUGGUGAAAUCCUCCGGCUCAACCGGAGUCGUGCCAUUGAUACUGGUUGUCUUGAGUACAGAUGAGGUGGGUGGAAUUUACGGUGUAGCGGUGAAAUGCAUAGAUACCGUAAGGAACUCCGAUAGCGAAGGCAGCUCACUAAACUGGAACUGACGCUGAGGCACGAAAGCAUGGGGAUCGAAC
Molecule: ribosomal RNA, 250 nt
Filed under: uncultured bacterium
Lineage: Bacteria
Description: partial 16S ribosomal RNA
Rfam family: Bacterial small subunit ribosomal RNA
Source: RNAcentral